ACGGGGUGCAGCAGGCGCGAAAACUCCGCAAUACACGAAAGUGUGACGGGGGAACCCCAAGUGCACUCACGCAAGUGAGUGCUUUUGUGAAGUGUAAAUAGCUUUAUGAAUAAGAGCUGGGUAAGACCGGUGCCAGCCGCCGCGGUAACACCGGCAGCUCGAGUGGUGAUCACUAUUAUUGGGCCUAAAGCGUCCGUAGCCGGUUUGAUAAGUCCUUGGGCAAAUCCUGCCGCUUAACGGUAGGAAUUCUGAGGAUACUGUCAGACUUGAGGCCGAGAGAGGUCGGAGGUACUUCUGGGGUAGCGGUGAAAUGCUAUAAUCCUAGGGGGACCACCAGUGGCGAAAGCGUCCGACCAGAGCGGGCCUGACGGUAAGGGACGAAAGCCAGGGGCGCGAACGGGAUUAGAUACCCCGGUAGUCCUGGCCGUAAACGCUGUGGGCUAGGUGUUGCAUGCUCUACGAGGGCGUGCAGUGCCGAAGAGAAGUUGAUAAGCCUACCGCCUGGGAAGUACUAUCGCAAGAUAGAAACUUAAAGGAAUUGGCGGGGGAGCAC
This 553-nucleotide ribosomal RNA is filed under the name uncultured euryarchaeote. RNAcentral's name for it is "bacterial SSU rRNA". It matches the Rfam family "Archaeal small subunit ribosomal RNA", at positions 325 to 879 of the family's 1478-position model. The record is from RNAcentral. Lineage: Archaea; Methanobacteriati; Methanobacteriota.